UAUGCUUGCACACUGAGGAUCAGACCU
Molecule: non-coding RNA, 27 nt
Filed under: Mus musculus (house mouse)
Lineage: Eukaryota; Metazoa; Chordata; Mammalia; Rodentia; Muridae
Source: RNAcentral